Molecule: ribosomal RNA, 484 nt
Filed under: uncultured bacterium
Lineage: Bacteria
Description: partial 16S ribosomal RNA
Rfam family: Bacterial small subunit ribosomal RNA
Source: RNAcentral
AUUGAACGCUGGCGGCAGGCCUAACACAUGCAAGUCGAGCGGAUGAAGGGAGCUUGCUCCUGGAUUCAGCGGCGGACGGGUGAGUAAUGCCUAGGAAUCUGCCUGGUAGUGGGGGAUAACGUCCGGAAACGGGCGCUAAUACCGCAUACGUCCUGAGGGAGAAAGUGGGGGAUCUUCGGACCUCACGCUAUCAGAUGAGCCUAGGUCGGAUUAGCUAGUUGGUGGGGUAAAGGCCUACUAAGGCGACGAUCCGUAACUGGUCUGAGAGGAUGAUCAGUCACACUGGAACUGAGACACGGUCCAGGCUCCUACGGGAGGCAGCAGUGGGGAAUAUUGGACAAUGGGCGAAAGCCUGGUCCAGCCAUGCCGCGUGUGUGAAGAAGGUCUUCGGAUUGUAAAGCACUUUAAGUUGGGAGGAAGGGCAGUAAGUUAAUACCUUGCUGUUUUGACGUUACCAACAGAAUAAGCACCGGCUAACUUCGUG